Drosophila subobscura is the source of this 315-nucleotide long non-coding RNA. RefSeq lists it as uncharacterized. The transcript is spliced from 2 exons. NCBI's taxonomy places the organism in Eukaryota, Metazoa, Arthropoda, Insecta, Diptera, Drosophilidae. The record is from RefSeq and is a predicted model, not a curated record.
AUCCAUUCAUCUAUCCGCACUCCACACCGCAGGAAAGUGAGAGUAACGUUUGCUCGUCUUAGGAGGGAUCGCCGCAAGAAGGUGAAGAAGCUGGCGAAUGGCAGAAAUGUAACAACCAAGCAGCAAGCAGCAAGCAUCACGCAGCAAUGUAAUAGUAAUUCCGAAAAUGGACACGAAAGAAAGCUAAAGAUACCCCUGGAGACCCUGGAGACGUGGCUCUGAUUGAGUGCUGGUAAUUCCAUCAAAUGAAUGAUCCAUGAUUAUGCAGAAACAUAUUAAAAAUACGAAUUUGUAAUGUGGUCGAUUGGAAGCGUA